RNAcentral lists this long non-coding RNA (301 nucleotides) under Ananas comosus (pineapple). RNAcentral's name for it is "long non-coding RNA (ACOM_LNC017322)". Lineage: Eukaryota; Viridiplantae; Streptophyta; Magnoliopsida; Poales; Bromeliaceae. The record is from RNAcentral.
AUAUAUAUAUAUAUAUAUAUAUAUAUAUAUAUAUAUAUAGUAGGGCUAGAAUACUUGUAAAAGUAUCAUGGGGGUGAUACUUGUGUGUUUUUAGCCCUUGGAUGGAGAGAUGUGAGGUUGAGAUGAUGGUGGUAGGUGAUCGAUUACCGCCUUCAUAAAGACGGUAAUCGAUUCACCGCCUUCAAGAAAAAAUUAUACCGUGACUCCUACAUGGCAAAAGGAGGAUUAGUUUGCCAAUUAUUUUUUUUUAGGAUUAUUUAUCUAAUUAGAGAAUUUUGUAGACUUAUUUUGAAAAAAAGGU